This is a long non-coding RNA of Centruroides sculpturatus (bark scorpion), 1464 nucleotides long. RefSeq lists it as uncharacterized. NCBI's taxonomy places the organism in Eukaryota, Metazoa, Arthropoda, Arachnida, Scorpiones, Buthidae. The transcript has 4 exons. The record is from RefSeq and is a predicted model, not a curated record.
UAACAAUAAACGCUUCUAAUUUUGGUCAUUGUCAAAGCGAGUUUAGCUAAUUGUCGAAGAGUUUAUUCGAUGUGGUUUCAUCUAAUGCGAAAUAGUUAUUCAAUAUGAGUACAACAAGUACCCAAGAUGGCGGCUCUUCCUGUAGCCUCGAAUAAGAUCGAGGAUUCGACGAUUCGCGACGAUUGACGUAGAAGGCGCUGUUUAAAUAUUUGUGACGAAUUAUAUAAAUUAUCGAACGAUAACGUGUUUGCGGAUGCGUUCAGUGACACAGAAGCGAAAGUUAUAUGAAUUUAAAAGCAGUCAAGAGCUGCCGCCGUGAAAUGCGUUCGCCAUCUCGUUUGCACGCGUGCAUGCGCAAACAAGAUGGCGACCACUGCCAUCUUGAAUACCUAGGGUAAAUCUAACCUAAAAGGAUUCUCUGAUAUUGAAUGCUUUUGUUUUGAAACUAUUUUCCAGUACGAAGAUGGUUUUUACGUAUCUUAUAAUUAUCAGGUAAGUGAAAAGAGAAAUUUUGAAAUACUCUAUUAUUACCAACAACGAAUACAGAAAUAUUUACAGGAUGUGCAGAAAGCUGUAUGAUUUAGCGGCAAAAUUCUAGGACAAAUGUAGCAAAAUUUCGUCUCCCCAAAUUCAUUCAUUCAUUUCAUUUUAUUAAAAUAACAUAAGUUACAUUUCCUGAUUUCGCUGAGCAUUAUCAGGAUUUAAAAACACUAACUAAUUAUGACAAUGAACACAGCAUAUUAAUAAACAUUAAGAGUAAAAUUGUACAAUGAUGGGAGGGCAACAAGGAUAUUAUACAGGCGUAAUAUAUAUUUAUACAAGUAAAAUUUUAUGAAAAAUAAGAUAGUGUAAAAUAUACAGUAACAAUUAAAAGUAACGAAGAUAAAAUAAAAUUAGAAUCACAACAAUUAAGCGCAAGUUAACAAAUUAUAAAAGAAGCGAACAGCAGAAGUGCAAAGAUAUUAUAGAUGAUACAUAUAUAGAAAUGAGUAUAUAUACAAACUAUAAUAUAUAAUAAUAAGACAGUAUAGUGUAAAGUAGUAAUAAUCAUUUGCACCAAAGUACUUAUGUUUCGGCCACAGAAAAUCCGCUAGUAGUUGAGCAAUGGAAGUUGAACAAUGUUCUCAACACCACUGAACUCCGCCAAGCAUCUGUGCGUAAUAUUCCGACAUAGUAAGAGCCACCAGAAGUUGAAGGAUUGUCUUCACGCUGCAUCAUUUAUAUUCAUUGGAAGUUGAAGAAACUUCGUCCACACCACAGUUAUUUCAAUAGCAAGGAAACCACUAGACGAUCAUAUGAUAAUGGUGCACAAGAAUAGAACACAUAAUAUAAUACACAAGUACACCACAAAGCAUGGAUUGAUGUAGAGUUGAUGCAGAAAACAGUCCAGUAGAAAAAUGUAAGCUCCUUCCAGUUUCAGUAAACUCAAUAAAUGUAAUAACGUGUAUUAAGUUCAAACACGAA